This 1080-nucleotide long non-coding RNA is filed under the name Monodelphis domestica (gray short-tailed opossum). RNAcentral describes it as "lncRNA (ENSMODG00000049621.1)". Lineage: Eukaryota; Metazoa; Chordata; Mammalia; Didelphimorphia; Didelphidae. The record is from RNAcentral.
GACAAAAGUGGGUGCACUAUCAACAAGGCACCUUCGGGUUGGAGGGGCAAAGCUGUCCUGUCCUGUCCUGCCAAGGCGCUGCCAAGACCCACCAUCGGAAAAGCUCCUGUUAAGUCCUUCCAGAUUUUCUCCUAUUUUUCAUUAUUUCCUCCAAAAAACCACCUGCGCCUUUCAUGGCCAAAGCCACGUGUGCAGCGGCCAUCCUGGGUUCCGAGCUGGGAAGGGCCAGCUGGCCAGAGACCCCGAGUCUCCCAGACUGCACCGCCUCUGGCCAGCCUCCGAGGCUCCCCGAGCCCCCCUUUCAGCCGACCCCUUCUGAAUGGCGAGGACAAGGAAGGAGGCUGCGGAUUUGCGGAACUGACCCUUUGGAGCACGGACCGGCCUCGAAAGGGUGUCUGGGGGAGGCCAGACUCUGCGCCCAGCCUGGGGACCCAGGUGGGGGUUGGGGAGCGGGGUCGGGAAUCGGACUCUCCGGACUGCCUUUCCUUGAAGCAAUGGGGAGACACGAGCCCCAGGAGUCAAGGUCCCGGCCUGAAGCGGGCGGGCACGGGGUGUGGGGCAGGGAUCUAUCUCCCUCCGGAUCCGGUCCUGCUGGCCUCCCCCAGGGGGGCCUCAGCCCACAGGGGAAAGUCCCAGAGACCGAGUGAGGCACAAGUGGGCGGGGGGUCACGGUGUUGGGACUCCCAGCUCAGGGGGGAAGGACAGACUAUCGCGGGGGCAGGGGCGAGUAAAAGAAGAGAACGCUGGUCAAACAGGAGGCUGGGGAAAAGAUGCGGGGGGGGUGGGGAGGAGGCAGAGGUAGGGGGCGCAGGUGAGAAGGGGAGGGGCGACCAAGUCAUGGCGCGGAUGGCGUCGAGGCCAGGAAGCAGCACGGGUUUAGGGGUCCGGAGACCCCGCCCUCCCUCGGGUCCCGGCGCCCUUCGGCCCUUCCGGGUCCCCAGCAUACGGACUCACCACAGGGGCCUUCUUCUUUCCAGCGAAGGGAGCUGGAAACUGGACACUGGGAAACACUCCGCUCUCCAGGGAUACCACGCCACGCCCCAGAAUCCGCCCCCCGCUCCGCCUCCGAUCCCUCCCUAA